CCUACGGGAGGCAGCAGUGAGGAAUAUUGGUCAAUGGACGAGAGUCUGAACCAGCCAAGUAGCGUGAAGGAUGACUGCCCUAUGGGUUGUAAACUUCUUUUAUAUGGGAAUAAAAUGUUCCACGUGUGGGAUUUUGUAUGUACCCUAUGAAUAAGGAUCGGCUAACUCCGUGCCAGCAGCCGCGGUAAUACGGAGGAUCCGAGCGUUAUCCGGAUUUAUUGGGUUUAAAGGGAGCGUAGGUGGAUUGUUAAGUCAGUUGUGAAAGUUUGCGGCUCAACCGUAAAAUUGCAGUUGAAACUGGCAGUCUUGAGUACAGUAGAGGUGGGCGGAAUUCGUGGUGUAGCGGUGAAAUGCUUAGAUAUCACGAAGAACUCCGAGUGCGAAGGCAGUUCACUGGACUGCAACUGACACUGAGGCUCGAAAGUGUGGGUAUCAAACAGGAUUAGAUACCCGUGUAGUC
RNAcentral lists this ribosomal RNA (460 nucleotides) under uncultured bacterium. RNAcentral's name for it is "partial 16S ribosomal RNA". It matches the Rfam family "Bacterial small subunit ribosomal RNA", at positions 338 to 795 of the family's 1533-position model. The record is from RNAcentral.